This 93-nucleotide transfer RNA is filed under the name Anaerolineae bacterium. Its description in RNAcentral is "tRNA-Ser". It matches the Rfam family "tRNA". From Rfam's summary of the family: Transfer RNA (tRNA) molecules are approximately 80 nucleotides in length. Their secondary structure includes four short double-helical elements and three loops (D, anti-codon, and T loops). Lineage: Bacteria; Bacillati; Chloroflexota; Anaerolineae. The record is from RNAcentral.
GGGGAGGUGCCAGAGUGGACGAUUGGGGCCGCCUGCUAAGUGGUUGUGGGGCUAAAAACUCCACCGAGGGUUCGAAUCCCUCCCUCCCCGCCA